Molecule: ribosomal RNA, 293 nt
Filed under: Aphanomyces salsuginosus
Lineage: Eukaryota; Oomycota; Saprolegniomycetes; Saprolegniales; Verrucalvaceae
Description: partial 28S ribosomal RNA
Rfam family: Eukaryotic large subunit ribosomal RNA
Source: RNAcentral
UUUGGACCUGAUAUCAGACAAGACUACCCGCUGAAUUUAAGCAUAUAACUAAGCGGAGGAAAAGAAACUAACAAGGAUUCCCUCAGUAACGGCGAGUGAAGCGGGAAGAGCUCAAGCUUAAAAUCUCCACGCAAGUGGCGAAUUGUAGUCUAUUGAGGCUGUUGUCAGCACAGCGACCUGGGACAAGUCCCUUGGAAGAGGGCAGCAUGGAGGGUGAUACUCCCGUCUCUGCUCAGGUUGUCUGUGUGUACGAUACGCUUUCUUUGAGUCGAGUUGUUUGGGAAUACAGCUCA